RNAcentral lists this ribosomal RNA (1633 nucleotides) under metagenome. RNAcentral describes it as "bacterial LSU rRNA". It matches the Rfam family "Bacterial large subunit ribosomal RNA", at positions 1276 to 2925 of the family's 2925-position model. The record is from RNAcentral.
UAUUGUAUAGAAGUGAGAAUGCCGGUGUGAGUAGCGAGAUGUAGGUGAGAAUCCUACACACCGAAAGCCCAAGGAUUCCAGGGGAAGGUUCGUCCGCCCUGGGUAAGUCGGGACCUAACGCGAGGCCGAAAGGCGUAGUGGAUGGAAAGCAGGCGAAAGAUUCCUGCACCCGUAUAUGGAGCGAAGGAGUGACGGAGACGGAUAGUGUGACCCUCUUAAUGGAUUGAGGGCGAAGCGAAGCGGCUGGUUACCAGGCAAAUCCGGUAACCAUAAGGCUAGAUCGUGACAGGUAAGCGAAAUCUUAGGAAAGUAGCGAAGCACAUGAUGACGGCUUCCAGGAAAAGCUUCUGGCAAUGCAUUCGGCCCGUACCAAAACCGACACAGGUGGGCAGGGAGAGAAUCCCGAGGUGAGCGAGAGAACUGUUGCCAAGGAACUCGGCAAAAUGACUCCGUAAGUUAGCGAGAAGGAGUGCUUAAGCAAUUAAGCCGCAGUGAAGAGGCCCAAGCGACUGUUUAACUAAAACACAGCUCUCUGCGAAGUCGCAAGACGAAGUAUAGGGGGUGACACCUGCCCGGUGCUGGAAGGUUAAGAGGAUCUGUUAAGAGCGAUCUGAAGCAGUGAUCCGAAGCCCCAGUGAACGGCGGCCGUAACAAUAACGGUCCUAAGGUAGCGAAAUUCCUUGUCAGGUAAGGUCUGACCCGCACGAAAGGUGUAACGAUUUGGGCGCUGUCUCGGCAGCAGACUCGGUGAAAUCUUAGUACCUGUGAAAAUGCAGGUUACCCGCAACUAGACGGAAAGACCCCAUGGAGCUUUACUGCAGCCUGAUAUUGAAUUCUGGUCAUACAUGUACAGGAUAGGUGGGAGACAAAGAGACGUGCACGCCAGUGUACGAGGAGUCGACGUUGGGAUACCACUCUUGUGUGACUGGGGUUCUAACCUGGUAUCGAGAACAGGUACGGGGAGAGUGUCAGGUGGGCAGUUUGACUGGGGCGGUCGCCUCCCAAAGAGUAACGGAGGCGCCCAAAGGUACGCUCAGAUUGGAUGGAAACCAAUCGUCGAGUGCAAUUGCAGAAGCGUGCUUGACUGUGAGACAGACAAGUCGAACAGGGACGAAAGUCGGGAAUAGUGAUCCGGCGGUGCCGAAUGGAAGGGCCGUCGCUCAACGGAUAAAAGCUACCCUGGGGAUAACAGGCUGAUCUCGCCCAAGAGUUCACAUCGACGGCGAGGUUUGGCACCUCGAUGUCGGCUCAUCGCAUCCUGGAGCUGGAUUCGGUUCCAAGGGUUGGGCUGUCCGCCCAUUAAAGCGGUACGCGAGCUGGGUUCAGAACGUCGUGAGACAGUUCGGUCCCUAUCUGUUGUGGGCGAAGGAGAUCUGCGGAGAGCUGUCCUCAGUACGAGAGGACCGGGAUGGACCUACCGCUGGUGCACCGGUUGUUCCGCCAAGGGCAUAGCCGGGUAGCUAAGUAGGGAAAGGAUAAGCGCUGAAAGCAUCUAAGCACGAAGCCUACUCCAAGAUGAGAUCUCCCAUUCGCAAGAAGUAAGACCCCUUAAAGACGAUAAGGUAGAUAGGCCAGGGAUGGAAGUGCAGUGAUGUACGGAGUUGACUGGUACUAAUCGGUCGAGGACUUAACC